This is an RNA transcript of Fragaria vesca subsp. vesca, 2025 nucleotides long. RefSeq lists it as uncharacterized. The transcript is spliced from 2 exons. The record is from RefSeq and is a predicted model, not a curated record. NCBI's taxonomy places the organism in Eukaryota, Viridiplantae, Streptophyta, Magnoliopsida, Rosales, Rosaceae.
ACAACCUCGUCUUUUUCUCUCUCUCAAGUCUCAACCCACAUCGUUCUCUCUCAACCCACAUCUGCUCUCUCUACCUCGUCGGAGACCAUGACGACAACGAAGCUAUCGGCGAGCCUUAGCCCUUAGACCAUCGUCCAACCUCCCUUGGAUUUCAUUCUUACGGUUUCGAAUUCAAUCUCCGAUAGUGAGUUCGGCGAGUUCCAAGGGCGGCCGAGAGAUCCCAAGGCAUCUGAUCCGUCUUCUCAAAACUCAUAUCCUCAUACGAAGAACCUUUUCACCGUAGUCUAGCUAAGCCUCUUCUCUGACGUAUGACCACAAGCGUUCACCUAACCUAACCUAGAAUUCCAAAAUUUCCAGGAAUCAGAGAGAGAAAACCAAUGCAGGGUACCAACAAUACCAGGUAAAAACUGAAGAAACUCCAAACACCAGGAUAUCAUGGACUCCACGAGACAAAAUGUAAGUAAGAAAAAUCAUUUUGAUUGCUUCCCUAAAUGUGAUACUAAACUCUUUAAGAAUGUUAGCAUGGCUGUUUAACUUCCUCCUCCAGGCUUGUUCUGGUGGGGCAGCACUAUCAAAGUCAAACUAGAGAAGGAGAGGAAAACGAGUCAGUUGGACAACUGAACAAAGAAUUCGCAUGAAUAGAUAUGACACACACCAAAACCAAAGAAUGGUAACAUAAACAAACAGAUAUGCAAAUGCAUUACGAAGACAGUCUGACAUGUUCCCACAUUCUAAUCAACACCAUGAAACAGCAGCCAAAGAAUCCUUGUAGUAGAUGAUCAUUUUGAUACAUUGCAGUAAAUGAAUUGAGUGUUAACUAUGCUCAGUUUUGAUCAGUCAAGAGAAUGAUUUAAUCUACCUAGUAAAGUGAACUCCCCUGCAGACAUGGUAAAUUCAAUACCAGGAAGUAAAGUUUUGAUUUUUUGAUUCAAAGUUUUGAUCUUUAUGUAUGAAUUAGAUUGUUGAAGAGCAUGAAGGAAGAAGAAGGGAGCGUGCGUACCAAUUGCAAAGUGUUCCUGGGGAUAUACUCCUGAGGAGGCCAUGAAUUCUUGAUACAAUGAAACAGAUUACCACUAACCAUGAUGAUCGUUGAUCCAAUCAAUUCAAUAUAGUAACCAUUCUAUGUGUCCCACUCUUCUAGACGAUUGCUACUAAACCUUCUACAUUUCCUAUACAUCACUUCUCCAUCCCCCAAUCUUCUUCAAUCAAGACUUUCUAUGUCUGCAUUCUACAUAUCUCGUUACCACUUUUAAUUGCAUCAAAGUUUACCAUAUCUUGUCAUCUUAAUAUUUAAUAUAAGAUCUUUGAAAAGGUUACAUAAAUUUAUAAUUUUGAUCUACCUCAUUAAAAUUUUUAUUAUUGUACUUGUUAAUUAUUUGUGUCAGAUGCACUAUACACCUAAAGCUGAUUUGUGUUUCAUAAGAAUUGGUAUCUUAUUUGUUUGAUUAACCGGCACCGGAUGCCUGCCUCCUUCAUGCAAAACAUGGAUAUUAUUCUAUUAUUCUAUCCCCAUGGUAUUAGUUUCCAAAACAUUCGAUUAAUGACAGAGUUUGAUAUAUUAGUGGAUAGAGUAGUAUUUUGUAAUGGGAUAGGUCGACAGGGUUUCCAAAUAGAAAAGAAAAUAGCGGUGGAGCCUAGUUGUUGUACGUAUAGUCACUUGACAUGCUUCGCCAUCGUCCUCCAACAUGGACUUGUCCAAUUCCAGUCGACAGGAGCGACUGAGCAAAGCCACCGCCUGUGGUUGAUGAUGUGGAUCCACCCUCAACUUCUGCAAGCUCUUCUUGCGUGUAGGAAGCAUGUAAAUGGUAAAACUGAUUCUAAUUACUGAAACUUUCAAUUCUCAGCAUUGUUGCUUACUUGCUUAUCUAUUUAGUUCUCUCAGAGUGCAUAAACAAGACAACUCAAUAGAACACAGAGUAGCAUUCAUCGAAAACAAAAGAGCUCUUGUCACUUCAAAGUUACGUACUAAACUAAAUUCUGAAUCAAGAAUUCAAGAUAAGCCUUCCAAAGACACACUCUUCAUGU